CCUACGGGGGGCAGCAGUGAGGAAUAUUGGUCAAUGGCCGGAAGGCUGAACCAGCCAAGCCGCGUGAAGGACGAAGGUGCCCAGCAUUGUAAACUUCUUUUGUCAAGGGACACAAUCAGGCUCGAGAGCCUGACCGCGGGUACUUGAAGAAAAAGCAUCGGCUAACUCCGUGCCAGCAGCCGCGGUAAUACGGGGGAUGCGAGCGUUAUCCGGAUUUAUUGGGUUUAAAGGGUGCGUAGGCGGACUGUUAAGUCAGCGGUAAAAGCCCGGGGCUCAACCCCGGCGAGCCGUUGAAACGGGCUGUCUUGAGAUGUCGAGAGGUAUGCGGAAUGCGCAGUGUAGCGGUGAAAUGCUUAGAUAUUGCGCAGAACUCCGAUUGCGAAGGCAGCAUACCGGCGGCGAUCUGACGCUGAGGCACGAAAGCGUGGGUAGCGAACAGGAUUAGAUACCCUGGUAGUC
This 459-nucleotide ribosomal RNA is filed under the name uncultured bacterium. RNAcentral describes it as "partial 16S ribosomal RNA". It matches the Rfam family "Bacterial small subunit ribosomal RNA", at positions 338 to 795 of the family's 1533-position model. The record is from RNAcentral.